Molecule: long non-coding RNA, 1707 nt
Filed under: Physcomitrium patens
Lineage: Eukaryota; Viridiplantae; Streptophyta; Bryopsida; Funariales; Funariaceae
Description: long non-coding RNA (PPAT_LNC004241)
Source: RNAcentral
ACAAAUUCAUUAGAGAAAGGUGCCACAUUUGAAUAGAAACUACAGCAACAAAGUGCCCUUGAUAAGUUGAAGGAGGCAGUCAUUACUACUUCAAUAUUGCAACUAUAUGAUCAUAAUCUUCUUUGUACGCUUGACAUUGAUGCUUCCAACUUUGCAAUUGGAGCGGUGUCAUAAUACGUAAAGUCUUACUUGAGAAUGCUUUGGGCACGUGGCUAUAUAAGGUAGAAUGGAAAUUACAACAAUAAAAUCCUAACUUUAAUAGAAUACUAACUAAACUCUAAUUAGACCAUAAUAAUGCUAAGCAAGCUAUAAUCAAAUUCAAAGAAAUCCAAAGAAAUUUCAAAGAAAAAAUAAGAAAUCUUAAAAAAAUAUUAGAAUGAUCACAAAUAUAUCUCAAAUACAUCUCAAUUCAAUCUUAAUUUAAUCCUAGUUAAAAUCCUAUUAGACUUCAUUUAAACUUUAGGCCAAAACUAAUUAAAUCUUAAAUCCUAAACAAAUCCUAAUAAAAUCCUAAAUCCUAAAUCAAAUCCUAAAUCCUAUACCAAAUCUUAAACCCUAAAAUAAAUCCUAACUAAACCUUAAAUCCUAAACCAAACCCUAAAUCCUAAACCAAAUCCUAAAUCUUAAACCAAAUCCUAAACUCUAAACCAAAUCCUAAAUGAAACCCUAAUCAAACCCUAAACCCUAAACCAAAUCCUAACCAAACUCUAAACCUUAAAUCAAAUCCUAAACCCUAAAUCAAAUCCUAAACCCUAAAUCAAAUCCUAACCGAAUCCUAAAUCAAAUCCUAACCAAAUCCUAAAUCAAAUCCUAACCAAAUCCUAAAUCAAAUCCUAAUCAAAUCCUAGACCAAAUCCUAAAUCCUCAAUAAAAUCCUAAUCAAACUCUAAACCCUAAAUCCUAAAUAAAAUCCUAAUCAAAUUCUAAACCCUAAAUCAAACCCUUACCAAAUCCUAAAUCCUAAACCAAAUCCUAAAAAAAUCCUAAACCAAAUCCUAAAUCCUAUAUCAAAUCCUAACCAAAUCAUAACCCUAAAUCAAAUCCUAACCAAACUCUAAACCCUAAACCAAAUCCUAACCAAACUCUAAACCCCAAACCACACCCUAAUCAAACCCUAGUAAUUUCCACAAUAGAUUUAAAACUCAAUAACUAAUAAAUAAACCGUUGAUCUUAACUCAAAUUUUGCACACUUCUUAAAAAUUAAGUUAAAAACAAGCACAAAAUUUUUUAAAAAGAUCGGAAUUAUAAAAUAGACGAUAACCUCAAAAACGUGCUCAGGUAUUGGUAGGCUCAUUCUCCAACCUUGAUGCCAAUCUCUUAGAGCCAAUAUCUCUCCUUUUCACCAUUCGAUUGAUCUCAAAAUUCUCAUAUAUAUAGAAAAAUAAUUCUAAUAUCCUUUCACAUAAAUUUCACUCCAAUCCAACUAAUAGAUUGCAAGAAAUCUUAAAAAUCCUCAUUGGACCUAAAAUUCUACUUUCUAAGAUCUUGACCCACUUAAACCUCAAUAAUCCUCAAUUCAACCGUUUGAUAUAGCUAAGAUUUACAAUACAUAUUGAACACAACUAUAACCAUUAAUUUAAAAAAUUUCACCCAUAGAUCUAUUACAAAACUCUUGAAAUCACCCAAAACGUAAAUCCUAUUUUAUUUCACAAAACUCAAGUCAUCCAAAACAAACCUUGACUUUGUAAAGCUCUUACAAAGUCAAUA